GGAUGUGGCUCAAGCGGUAGCAUGCUCGCCUGGCACGCGCGCCGUGCUGGGUUCAAUCCUCAGCACCA
RNAcentral lists this transfer RNA (68 nucleotides) under Marmota monax (woodchuck). RNAcentral's name for it is "tRNA.Ala". The record is from RNAcentral. Lineage: Eukaryota; Metazoa; Chordata; Mammalia; Rodentia; Sciuridae.